Long non-coding RNA from Oncorhynchus keta (chum salmon), 603 nucleotides. RefSeq lists it as uncharacterized. The transcript has 3 exons. The record is from RefSeq and is a predicted model, not a curated record. Lineage: Eukaryota; Metazoa; Chordata; Actinopteri; Salmoniformes; Salmonidae.
UGUAGAAUCAGGUGUGGUAGUAGAAUCAGGUGUGGUAGCACUGGACUAUUCAUGGAAGAACAGCUGAGUAGUAGAAUCAGGUGUGGUAGUAGAAUCAGGUGUGGUAGUAGAAUCAGGUGUGGUAGUAGAAUCAGGUGUGGUAGGAGAAUCAGGUGUGGUAGCACUGGACUAUUCAUGGAUGAACAGCUGAGUAGUAGAUUCAGGUGUGGUAGAACUGGACUAUUCAUGGAUGAACAGCUGAGUAGUAGAAUCAGGUGUGGUAGUAGAAUCAGGUGUGGUAGGAGAAUCAGGUGUGGUAGUAGAAUCAGCUGUGGUAGGAGAAUCAGGUGUGGUAGUAGAAUCAGCUGUGGUAGGAGAAUCAGGUGUGGUAGUAGAAUCAGCUGUGGUAGGAGAAUCAGGUGUGGUAGUAGAAUCAGGUGUGGUAGCACUGGACUAUUCAUGGAUGAACAGCUGAGUAGUAGAUUCAGGUGUGGUAGGAGAAUCAGGUGUGGUAGGAGAAUCAGGUGUGGUAGGAGAAUCAGGUGUGGUAGUAGAAUCAGCUGUGGUAGGAGAAUCAGGUGUGGUAGGAGAAUCAGGUGUGGUAGUAGAAUCAGGUGUGGUAGU